Molecule: ribosomal RNA, 251 nt
Filed under: uncultured bacterium
Lineage: Bacteria
Description: partial 16S ribosomal RNA
Rfam family: Bacterial small subunit ribosomal RNA
Source: RNAcentral
UACGUAGGGUGCGAGCGUUAAUCGGAAUUACUGGGCGUAAAGCGUGCGCAGGCGGUUCGCCAAGUCAGGUGUGAAAUCCCCGGGCUUAACCUGGGAAUUGCGCUUGAAACUAGCGGGCUUGAGUGUGGCAGAGGGGGGGUGGAAUUCCACGGUGUAGCAGUGAAAUGCGUAGAGAUGUGGAGGAACACCGAUGGCGAAGGCAGCCCCCUGGGCCUGCCACGUGACGCCUCGAUGCACGAAAGCGUGGGGAG